This is a non-coding RNA of Thamnophis sirtalis, 464 nucleotides long. The record is from RefSeq and is a predicted model, not a curated record. Lineage: Eukaryota; Metazoa; Chordata; Lepidosauria; Squamata; Natricidae.
CGGCGGCGGUAUUGUCAAGGCGGGUUUGUCGUCUCCGCGGAGCCUUUGCUCCUUCUCGCCGUCCCGGGAGGGCAGCUCCGGAAUGGGGCUCGGCGGCGGCAACUUCUUCUCCGCUAGCAGCCUCGCCGGCCGUGAUCGCCCAGGAAGCCGUUAGUUAUUAUUAUUUUUUUGCUGUGGCGCCGGUGUCGCUCCGCCCUUCACCGCACUGAGAGCUAACACUAGAAGAAACCGCAGAAGUUCUUGAAACCUAAUUUCUGGAGUGCCCACAAGAGACCAUCAAAAUGUCAGGAGCUUCUGUAAAAGUUGCUGUUCGGGUUAGACCUUUUAAUUCCCGAGAGACCAGCAAAGAGUCCAAAUGCAUCAUCCAAAUGCAAGGCAAUUCAACCAGUAUCCUGAAUCCAAAGAAUCCUAAAGAAGCGCCAAAAUCCUUCAGCUUUGACUACUCGUACUGGUCCCAUACCUCG